Molecule: non-coding RNA, 76 nt
Organism: Myotis brandtii (Brandt's bat)
Lineage: Eukaryota; Metazoa; Chordata; Mammalia; Chiroptera; Vespertilionidae
Source: Rfam
AGAGGUUCUUGGGUGACGCACCCCAGAAUCGGGUUCUCUCCUCUCUGGUUCUGGGGUGCGUCACCUGAGAACCGCU